CAGGAGGGGUCACUGUAGGCACUGCGGGCACUGUCGGCCCAGGAGGGGUCACUGCGGGCACUGUGGGCACCGCCCGGGCGAGCUCCAGCAGCCGGGCCCCGGACCGGCUGCCGUGACCGUCGGGGGGAGCUGCCCUGGGCUACACCUCCCUCCCUGCCCUUCCCGGCAAAGCCAUGUUUCCUGAGGGUCUCAGAGAGAAUGGAGAAGGCCAACAGCGUGGCAUGUGAGAGGAGAGACAAGCCAUGGAAAGUGGUCCUGGUCCUCUCAGCAGAUGAACUUGCUAGGCCCACCCUAAUGCUCUGGGGUUGUCUCCUGCCUGAUGGACUGCCACCAAAGCUCUAAAGCCCUCUCACACAAAGGCGCCACGGGACUCCCACCCUCGACAUGAGCGCUCUGCCUGCCUCUGGCGCUGCCUGUCAGACCCGCUUCAGCUGGAAUCAAGGUAAAGAAUCAGCAGCACUAAAUACUGCAGGACAAAGGCAUAAACCAGCUUUGUAACCCUGGGCAACCUGGGUGUUUGCUGACUGACAGUGUGAAUGACAGCCCAGUUGUCGCUCUGAAAUACCGUCUUCUAAUCAUUCCAGAUGUCACCCGACAAGAUGAUGGCUACUAAAAAGGGAAUAAUUUGGGAAAAGUCAUAAAGCCUAUUAUCUCCUGCUGAAACAAUUUCUCUUUGCCAUUUCUGAAGUCUCUGCAAAAUAGAUCCAGAAUAUCCCAUAUGUAGCAUGCCAGUGGUUUAUUAGGAGAGGGUGUCCACUUAGAACUGCACUGGGUACCCCAUGACAUUCCUGGAGAAAGCCACCCCUGAGCUGUGCCACUUCUUCAUGUCUUGGCAGGUGACUCCAAUCUGGCCAUACAGUGGAGUUGAAAUAUUUCACCUGUUCCAAAACACAACAGGCAGCAAAAGGCUAUCAUAGUACACACAGCCUGACAAAUCAGAGAGAGGAUGGAGAUGAUCACAAAGCAGCAGAGUGCAGUUUCUGGGUAGAAUUCUUAUCAUUAUCUUUUCUCCUUAACAAAUAAAGAAACAUCUGAAAAUAUUGUUAGGGCCUUU
RNAcentral lists this long non-coding RNA (1054 nucleotides) under Zonotrichia albicollis (white-throated sparrow). RNAcentral describes it as "lncRNA (ENSZALG00000012632.1)". The record is from RNAcentral. Lineage: Eukaryota; Metazoa; Chordata; Aves; Passeriformes; Passerellidae.